GAUGAACGCUGGCGGCGUGCCUAAUACAUGCAAGUCGAGCGAACAGAUGAGGAGCUUGCUCCUCUGACGUUAGCGGCGGACGGGUGAGUAACACGUGGAUAACCUACCUAUAAGACUGGGAUAACUUCGGGAAACCGGAGCUAAUACCGGAUAAUAUAUUGAACCGCAUGGUUCAAUAGUGAAAGACGGUUUUGCUGUCACUAUUGAUUGAUCCGCGCCGCAUUAGCUAGUUGGUAAGGUAACGGCUUACCAAGGCAACGAUGCGUAGCCGACCUGAGAGGGUGAUCGGCCACACUGGAACUGAGACACGGUCCAGACUCCUACGGGAGGCAGCAGUAGGGAAUCUUCCGCAAUGGGCGAAAGCCUGACGGAGCAACGCCGCGUGAGUGAUGAAGGUCUUCGGAUCGUAAAACUCUGUUAUUAGGGAAGAACAAAUGUGUAAGUAACUAUGCACGUCUUGACGGUACCUAAUCAGAAAGCCACGGCUAACUACGUG
Molecule: ribosomal RNA, 496 nt
Filed under: uncultured bacterium
Lineage: Bacteria
Description: partial 16S ribosomal RNA
Rfam family: Bacterial small subunit ribosomal RNA
Source: RNAcentral